RNAcentral lists this ribosomal RNA (380 nucleotides) under uncultured cyanobacterium. RNAcentral describes it as "bacterial SSU rRNA". It matches the Rfam family "Bacterial small subunit ribosomal RNA", at positions 376 to 770 of the family's 1533-position model. Lineage: Bacteria; Bacillati; Cyanobacteriota. The record is from RNAcentral.
GGCAACCCUGACGGAGCAAUACCGCGUGAGGGAGGAAGGCCUUUGGGUUGUAAACCUCUUUUCUUAAGGAAGAAGCUCUGACGGUACUUAAGGAAUCAGCAUCGGCUAACUCCGUGCCAGCAGCCGCGGUAAUACGGAGGAUGCAAGCGUUAUCCGGAAUUAUUGGGCGUAAAGCGUCCGCAGGCGGCAUUAUAAGUCUGCUGUCAAAGACCGCAGCUCAACUGCGGAGAAGGCAGUGGAAACUGUAAAGCUAGAGUACGGUAGGGGUAGAGGGAAUUCCCAGUGUAGCGGUGAAAUGCGUAGAGAUUGGGAAGAACACCAGUGGCGAAAGCGCUCUACUGGGCCGUAACUGACGCUCAGGGACGAAAGCUAGGGGAGCG